UACGUAGGGGGCAAGCGUUAUCCGGAUUUACUGGGCAUAAAGGGCGCGUAGGUGGUACUUUAAGUCGGAUGUGAAAUCUCUCAGCCUAACUGAGAAGCUGCAUUCGAAACUGAAGUGCUAGAGUACAGGAGAGGAAAGCGGAACUCACGGUGUAGCGGUGAAAUGCGUAGAUAUCGUGGGGAACACCAGUUGCGAAGGCGGCUUUCUGGACUGUUACUGACACUGAGGCGCGAAAGCGUGGGGAGCAAACAGG
RNAcentral lists this ribosomal RNA (253 nucleotides) under uncultured bacterium. RNAcentral describes it as "partial 16S ribosomal RNA". It matches the Rfam family "Bacterial small subunit ribosomal RNA", at positions 524 to 776 of the family's 1533-position model. The record is from RNAcentral.